This 561-nucleotide long non-coding RNA is filed under the name Gossypium barbadense (sea-island cotton). RNAcentral describes it as "long non-coding RNA (GBAR_LNC019408)". Lineage: Eukaryota; Viridiplantae; Streptophyta; Magnoliopsida; Malvales; Malvaceae. The record is from RNAcentral.
AAAAAACGUAUUUCAUUAAAUGGUAGCAAACAAAUAACAUCACAUAGCAAUGAAGAAUUAUUACAUUUGGAUCAAUUUUGAAAUAAUUCCUUUGCAUGCAAUAUUUUGCAACUCAUCACCAAAUAGGAACUCCAAUAGCUUAAAAAUCCCAAUCCUCAACUUUCUAUCGUCGGUCAACACAAAUUUUCACGCAUUAAAUUAUCCUUUUGUCUCAGCAAUUUCUCCAACACAAUUUGACUCCACCCAUCAAAAUACUUAACAAAUUAAAGACUAAAUUAGAAAAAAAAUUAACAAUGAGCACUAAAUUUAACAACUGAUAAACUUAAUGAAAAAUAAUCUUAAUCCUAAUCAAAUUAAACAUUACAAUUAAGUCUUUAAAUUUUGAGUAUCUGUAAAACAUAUUGAAGCCCUCAAACCAUAUACAACACCCUUACCUGACUCAUAGAUUUUGAGUUUUGCAAAAGAAAAAAGAUAUCGAUGGAGCUUCAGGUUUAACUUGGUGUGAAAUGAUUUAGAGCUUUGAAAUAAGGAAGGCAAGAAAAGAGUAGAGAUGGUCACGAU